AGCGAACGCUGGCGGCGUGCCUAACACAUGCAAGUCGAACGUGAAAGGGAGCAAUCCUGAGUAAAGUGGCGUACGGGUGAGUAACGCGUAGGUAAUCUACCCCAAAGUCUGGAAUAACCUGCCGAAAGGCGGGCUAAUACUGGAUAGAGCGAUGGAACUCAUAAAGGAGUUUUUCGGGAAAGGGAGGAAGCAAUUCCCUUUGCUUUGGGAUGAGCCUGCGUCUCAUUAGCUAGUUGGUGGGGUAAAAGCUCACCAAGGCUAUGAUGGGUAGCUGGUCUGAGAGGAUGAUCAGCCACACUGGAACUGAAACACGGUCCAGACUCCUACGGGAGGCAGCAGUGGGGAAUCUUGCGCAAUGGACGAAAGUCUGACGCAGCCACGCCGCGUGAGUGAAGAAGGCCUUCGGGUUGUAAAGCUCUGUCGCCCGGGACGAAAAUUUAUUAGGUGAAUAGCCUAGUGAACUGACGGUACCGGGAAAGGAAGCACCGGCUAACUCCGUGCCAGCAGCCGCGGUAAAAC
This 519-nucleotide ribosomal RNA is filed under the name uncultured bacterium. RNAcentral's name for it is "bacterial SSU rRNA". It matches the Rfam family "Bacterial small subunit ribosomal RNA", at positions 29 to 526 of the family's 1533-position model. The record is from RNAcentral.